CCCUCACGCUUUAUUCCUCUAAGGCAUUUUAAAACUCAUCUUUUCAGCUCACUCGUCUUCCACACUGUUUAUUAUAAACCAACACUGUACUCUGCGGCAUGCUCUCCAGCUCCUACACUCAUUACCCUCACGUUUCAUCAGCUCCUACACUCAUUACCCUCACGUUUCAUCAGCUCCUGCACUCAUUACUCUCACAGUUAUAAAACAGAGCAAUGUCCCUCUUCAUAUCGCACACUUCUUCCUUCUUUCUUUCUGCUCUUUUCUCCUUCUUUCUCAUUCCUUCCUUUCUCUCUUCAAUCUGAGAGUUACAGGAGACAGAGUGAGAAAGUGAGAGACGGUGAGAUGGAGGGAAAUAGGCGAGAGAUAGAGAGCUGAGUGAGAUUAAGAGAGAAACAGAGGAAGAGAAGGAGAGGAACCCAGACCCAGAGACCCGAUCGUGGAGGACCCGUGCGCAGAGCCGAUGAACAGAGACCCGAAACCCGGGAAACCCGUCAACGCCGUACCCAGAUCCCGGCAACCCAGCGAACCCAGAGAACCGAUCAACCCGUUCAGCCCGUGACCCACGGCAACCCAGAACUGGAACCCAGCAACCCAGCUCGACGACCCGUAGCAGACCCGUGACCCAACGAACCCAGAACCACCGUGACCCAGCCGAGCUCGUACGUCGUUAGCCCGGAAAACCCGAUCCUCCUUGCCUGGCGAUUCCAGCAGCAAUUCCCGGCCAUCUCAGUGGAUUGUUGGCCGGUUGAUCUGUGGUGAUUUCCGGCGAUUCUAGCCGGAAAUCUGGCAACUUCCAUGGGCGAUUUUCUGAUGAUGAACUGAGAGACUGUACAAAAAGACUCCCAUGUUGCAGGUACGAAAGUGUAUAAAGCUCAAGGAUAGGAGUUUGUUAACAUUACAGGAAAUUAGAACUGUUCGAUAAUGUAGUUGAUGAAUGUAGUGAAUUCUUGUAUCAAUUUGAAAUGUAAUACUUUAAUUACGUUUAUCACUCAAUAAAGCUCUGAUGUGUUAUUUAAUUCAAGCCUGUUGGAUAAAUUAUAUCUUCCGCUGCGAGAGUUUAUCUCUGAGGUAGUAACGUCACGUGGAAACCGGAGGUUUCUGCUUACGAAUUUGCUGGUUCAAAUUUGGGGCGUUACAGUAUGUUUGCUGAGGGGCUGUUUCAUCUUGAUCCUAGGCUUUCCAUCUACAUUGAUACCGGACUACAGGAUGAUCUGAGUAAGGAGGCAGCCAAAAGGAAGACCGGCAGUGUCCUCAUCACGAGCCUCGAGCAUGACUCCCAGAAUAUGUUUGCAGAGACAGAAAGGAAAGCGAAAGUGAACAUCAUAAACAAACUGGGCCUUCUUCAAUAUCAGAUUACUGCGCCUGGUAACCGGCCACAGAUUGUGCAGAAUAAUUUUGGCAAACAUACGAUGAACUGGACCUAGAGCACCAAUCUUGAUGGAGGUCUGAUGCCCCUCACCCUGUGGAACAGCAUGGAAAAACUCUUGGAGCUCAUCCAUAGAGGGAGGAAGCACCACCUCGUUGAAUGGACUGGCAGGUAGAUCGAGAACAGGUACCCUGAUAAACUGGCUGAUGAUCUGGGGAUCAACAGUGAUUAUGUGUCCAUCAACAGUGGACUGCAGUACCAUCCCACGCUCAUCAUCCUGAGCAACCUCCAAGUUUGCAUAAAAAAGUCGGACCAGCCUGGUGAGGACGACGCAGGCACAGGUAUAGAGGUAGGUCCACUGAUAAUGCUGGAUAGUCUCAUGGAUACUGUUUAGCGGAGGCACCAUGAUAUCUACACGGACCACGUUCCGUUCAGCAAUGACAGUCCGGUCCAUAAUCUUCGCUUGUAUUUCAUUUUGCUCUGCUUCUGUCCUCUGACGGACCCGGCGCUGGAAACUGAUGGCAGACAUGAUUCUGCAAAAAGAAAACCAACAAGAAUAUUCCAAAAAAAAUAAUCCCAAAAAAAAUCUUGUUAGGUUAGCAAAAGUUUUGGGCAG
Molecule: long non-coding RNA, 1982 nt
Organism: Alnus glutinosa
Lineage: Eukaryota; Viridiplantae; Streptophyta; Magnoliopsida; Fagales; Betulaceae
Exons: 3
Source: RefSeq, a predicted model, not a curated record